This 485-nucleotide ribosomal RNA is filed under the name uncultured bacterium. Its description in RNAcentral is "bacterial SSU rRNA". It matches the Rfam family "Bacterial small subunit ribosomal RNA", at positions 29 to 507 of the family's 1533-position model. The record is from RNAcentral.
AUGAACGCUAGCGGCAGGCUUAAUACAUGCAAGUCGAGGGGCAGCAUGAAGUAGCAAUACUUUGAUGGCGACCGGCAAACGGGUGCGGAACACGUACACAACCUUCCUUUAAGUGGGGAAUAGCCCAGAGAAAUUUGGAUUAAUACCCCGUAACACAACGAAGUGGCAUCACUUUGUUGUUAUAGUUUCGGCGCUUAAUGAUGGGCGUGCGUGCUAUUAGCUAGUUGGUGAGGUAACGGCUCACCAAGGCUACGAUAGCUAGGGGGCGUGAGAGCGUGGCCCCCCACACGGGUACUGAGACACGGACCCGACUCCUACGGGAGGCAGCAGUAAGGAAUAUUGGACAAUGGUCGAAAGACUGAUCCAGCCAUCCCGCGUGCAGGAUGACUGCCCUAUGGGUUGUAAACUGCUUUUAUAUGGGAAGAAUAGCAUAGAUUCAUCUGUGUAUGACGGUACCAUAUGAAUAAGCACCGGCUAACUCCGUG